UGCAUGCUGCAGAGUUCUAUAUUUCUUUGAAUUUGGUUUCAGUUUGCUUUACAUGACAACAGCGAUAAGGAAGAUACCAGGAAAAGUUUGUUUUAAUAUUUUACUGAAGAGUUCAAUUUUGAUCUUCAAGAAUUUGGCAGUAUCACAAGAGAAACUGGAGGCUGCUUAGCAAGUAAAAGCACUGGAUGUGGGUUUUCCUUAUCUUGGAUCAAGGUCCAUUUUUCUCUAGGUCAUCAGAAAAACGUAGCCCAGGGCAUUGACCUAGAAUAGGGGUUCCAAGAUUGUGGUCUGUGGACUACCAGUGAUCUGUGAACUUCAUUCAAGUGGUCUGUGGAUUUAUGUUUGAAGGCGAGAUAGCACAUCCAUCAUAUUAAAUGUUCAUAUUGAUUUAUAA
Molecule: long non-coding RNA, 394 nt
Organism: Rhineura floridana
Lineage: Eukaryota; Metazoa; Chordata; Lepidosauria; Squamata; Rhineuridae
Exons: 2
Source: RefSeq, a predicted model, not a curated record